CUUUGAACACUACAACCCAGCUACUGUUUGCAGUUCUCUCAAAGAGCGUGUCUGCCAGCUGCGGAAUAUUCACAUUCAUUUCAUUUGUGCACUGUAUUAGAUAGUCCAGGUGCUUCUUCUUGGGGCCCAUCACCUCGUGGGUCGUGGCCUUGCAGACCGCUUUGGCCACGGCCGAGCCGGUGACGCUGUGCUGUGCCGCCGUGAUGCGGUCGGUGAUCGACUGCCCCGACAUCGCGGCGAGGCCGGGCGGCGGGAGCGGCUCCCCGAGGAAGGACGGCGGGGAGGAGUCCUCACCGGCUCCGCGCGCCCCCCAGCCGCGGCCAGGGGCAGGGCCAGAAGCGGGGGCGGUCCGCGGUGAGGCCGGCUGUCCCUCGCUGCGGACUGCGUCCCGGAGGAAAGCGGCCGACUCCGCUGUGCCUCCUGCUGCGGACUGCACGAAGGCUUUCCCUUUCACAUUUCCACUCCCAGACAAAAUGGCGGCGGCGGCGGCAUCAGGUGACCGCGCGCCCGCCCCGCCCCGUACCGGCGGGCUCCGGGCUGUGUGGGGCUGCGACCGCGGGGCGUGAGGUGAGCUGGCCCCGGUCGGGCUGUCCCUGCGGGAAGCUGCUGCGGGGUGAGCUGGGGCUGAGUCAGCAGCGAGACGACCUCUGGCAGAGAAGUGCCGCCCAGGGACAGCCCUGUGGUGUCAAAGCGGUUUUUCCACGGCUUCUUGUGGGGCGAGUUCUCUCCACGCGGUGAGGAGCACCAGUUCGCUGUGCUGUGCUCCGUUUGUCGUUUUCCUGAGAGGAAACAUGCGCACCGCAGCUCGUGCCAAGUGUGGCAGUGAUUUCUGCCAUAGUGUCGCCGUGGCAGCCGGACCAAGACUCCAACCACCCAUCCUCUGGUGGCAAUGGCACCUUGCCAGCAGGCUUGGACGCCAGGCCUGCUCAUUAGGCUCUGUCACUCAGCAGCAGCUCCCUCCAUCCUGCUGUCCCUGCUGCCCUCCUACCACCUCAUUACCUUCCAGCUAACCACCUCGUCAGUAGGACAGAAGUUUGAGCAGUGUGAUGCAAGCGAGCAGAGCUGCCCCAUGCCAGUGGCUCAGUCAUCCUGCUGCUAGGAUUGGGCUCGCCCACACAAGGCAUCUCAGCUUCAUUUUCAAAACAUUCCUCGAGAAGCUGUCUUCUCUCCUUGCCCUCAUAAAUGACAGCAGUUCCUGAAGUAAGAGGAGUGAGAGGAAAACUUCUGCAGAAGCUCUCUGACAGGACUUGCUCCUUUGCCUGUGAGCACACACUUUGUGAAAGCGAGUGUGGGUUUCCAGACCAAAAUGAGGAAUUUCUCUUUCACAACAGAGUCCAAUUGUAUCAAUAACAUGAGGGCACAUUACUCCAAACUGAACAUCACAGGGCAACUGCUUGAGGAAAAAAGAAAAAAUCAAUAUAUGAUGAUAAAGGCACCCAACUCCAGCACAGAAAGGAAAUGCUCAUUUCCAGUAUUCUGAGCUGCUCCUCGUGUCCCUCUAAAUCGCUGUUGUGAUAUUGUCAUUACUCUCCUAGCAUUAUGGUUUCCAAAGACAGUAUUUCCCUGAAUGACAAUGAGGAAGUUUUGCUGCUGCUGUACAAACUGUUAAUUGUUUUUCUGUCAUGCCUUGAGGCCUUGGUGAGGACUCCUUCCAUUGCACUUCGCUCCUAAGAAGAAUUCUGAAGAAGCAUUCCUGCUGCCUCAGGUGCUGCAUUCUCGUUCCCACUGCCCACAGGCAAAAGGGGAUUCAUGUUGGUGUGAAGGUGAAGAAAUCAGUGACACAUCAAUCUGGGAUGUCGGCUAUCUUGAGGUGCACAUCUACGUUUUUGAUGAAAUGCAGAACUUUAUUCUUUAGUAACAGGUGUGUCUGGGUGAAAUUCUAUACCCUUUGAAACAGGUAAGAACAAAGAAGUCUCAGCCACCACCCCCUAGGGUGGAGUUACAAGGUGCAUUCAUCAUCCUCAAUUACAGACAUAUUUGCAGAGGGCUGUGGCAUGACACCAUGAAAGAUGCACAACUAGCUGUUUAAAUCAUUGAAUAGAAACCUAAUUGGGAGGUAUGCAAGUAAGGAGUGAUGGAGUGAUACCUUACCCACCUUUCCUUGGCUUGCCAGUGCUGAGUGCAUCACCAGUUCUGAGGAGACAGGAAGGCAUGAAUGAUUUUAGGGCUGAUAUUUCCCUUGCACCUCACCUAGUGGCUCUGCAGUAUGUGUUUCUGCAGAAGCCAUUCAGACUGGUCUGCUGGUCACUGCACAUGUGCUUGUGGCAGGCUGCAACCAGGAAGACAACACACUUUGCUUUACAUGAAGUAGCUGGCAGCUCCUGAGUUCGCACCAAAUCCAUACCUCUUUAUAAUGCUUCUUGCCUGUCUUUCUUGCCUCAGUCUAAAAACACACAGUUUUUAGUGUGAAAGCUGUACAUGAUACAAUUUUGCUUAUGUUGCUUCAUUAGCAAAUAUUCUGUCCUAGCCACUCUUCCUGUGCCCGUGGACUUAGGUUUACAUUUGUGAGGAUUUAAAACUGGAAGUAUGUCCAUUUUCCAUCUUGAUUCAUGAAUUUUGCGGUCCUUUGUUUACUGCAAGGUGCACAAGGAGGGCUUCUGAAGAAAGGAGACAGGAAACAUAGUCCACAUGUGGCAACAAAGAGGCAGUUUUGGGGAGGUGGUGGUCAGAGUGAUGGGACGUUUCUGGGUGUCUACCAUAGCCAAAUGGCACAUUGUUUUCUGGUAUAAAGAAUAUUUUCAUAAUGAGCAGUGAAUUCAGUCUGGCUGCACCUACAGCCCCAAGAACAAACAGUCUAGAGGUAGGUUUGUCAAUAAAUACCAUCUGCUUAGCAGCAUGGAAUCCAAACUAUUGCAGAAUCCACCUUAAUGGUGGCUGCUGUUUUGCUAGAUAUAGAUGAGAUGAAAAUGUCUACAAAAUACUUUUUUUUUUUUUUUUUUGGAAAUAGUGUGAUUCUGAUCUCAAAAAUAUGACAGGAAGUGUAAUGGGACUUGUUCAAUCUCAGUUUAAGUCUGAGAGAAUGAAAUGAACAGCUGCAGUUAGCUUCUUUCCUGAAGGACAGCAAAGCACCCCACAGACACCUAAGCUGUAAGUGGAGUUGCUUCUCACAGAGAUUUGGACACUGAUGUGUCUGAAAUAUGUCUUGCUUCCACUCCUGCCCACAAGGGAAGGAAAUGCAACUUUGCGAGCAGCAGAAGUAGCAGAGCCUGGUUUCCUCGAUGCUUCCAUGGAGGCUCCCAGCUGGUUUCCUGCCUCAGCAUGCUGACAACCGAUAAGAGGAGAAUUCCUGCUGCAGCCAUUCUCUCUGCAGAGGCACUGGCAAUCCUUGCUGCUUGGCUGCUUGUUUUCCAGUAAUUUCAUAAAAGCAGAGCAUCUGUGGGAUCUUUACGUCUCCGAGGUUCAGUCGAGACUGGCUGUUGGAUUCAAAGGUCCUGAAGAAUCCAAGAGAAAUGAGACAUAAGCAUCAUUUAAAAAUUCUGAAACCAAAAUGAGAACUUUAGCAUGCUAGAUGACUAAUUCUUCCCUGGGCAGAGACGUGUAAGAAAAAACUGUCACACUGUAGUCCAACUUGGAUUUAUGGGUGUGAUAUUCUGCUGAUCUUUUUUAGAGGUCUUCAUUUCCCUCUGUCUGUAUUGUAAAACAUGGAUAAGAGGUUUAGGUACAUAACUGGGAUGGUUAAAUUCUUCCAAAUCUUGCAUAACUGCAAAAUAUCAAAAGAUCAGAUCAAGAAUUUGUCAUAGAAAUUGCCUGGCUGGAACUCGGACUCAUUUUUAUGUCAGUUGUCUUUUGUAGCGAAGGAUCAGGGAGGAUUCCAGGGAAAGACAGACCUGAAUAAGCAACUCUUUAAGACACAAAUUUAAUUAAAAAAAAAAAAUGUGGUGUAAGAUUAAUGAAACAAGGAAGAGGGUGAAGAUGUAAAAAGAAGGUCAUCACUGAGGAGUGCAAUCCACAGCUCAUUGUCUGUGUGGAAGGAUAGCAGUGACGUAGAAAGCGGAAUCGUAAAAGGGGUGGGUGAAAGAGAAAAGUUUGCUGGGCAAGUAAACCAUAAAAGGUCUUUUUUAAUGGAGCAUGCUUACUUUAAUGUAAAUCUGCAGCAGAUCUACUUGCUUCCUGACGUUCCAGAGUUUCACUGACGAUGAAGUUUCUGAGACACACAAAGUUGCAAACAAAUAUGGCCUGAAAAUGGCAACAGAGAAAUUGGUUGGGGUGUAUUUACUCCCAGGAAAGGUAGCGUAGAGCCAGGAGUGCCAGGAGAAAAGCGCAGUGAAGUGUAUUUCUUGAAAAUACAAGGGAGAACAGUUUCAACGCCUCAUGUAAGUGUGUUUCUCUGAAGUCCAAAGAAGAGCUGCUUUCAGAUUCCAAAGCUAAAGCUUGCCUUCGCUGAAAAGCUUGACAUCAGGAGUCAUGGCUACACAGCAAUAAGCCAUGCCGAGGGCAGUUUGGAGAUUUUUAAGAGGACACCUGUGCCACCCCAGCCUGCUCCAGCACUCAGAAUGGCCCCAAUGCCUGCAGGGAAAUUCAUCUGUGCUCACUGUUCAAAGCAAGCCCUCCUAUGCUAAAUCCUCUUUGAUCCUCCAGGACAAUGAAGAGACCCUGAGCUGUAAUCAAGCUUGCUUUAGGGCUGGUUUUAGACCCCACAAGAUGUCCAGAACUGGACACAAUCCAUAGGGCCUUUAAGCCCCUUUUCAGAGUGCUCCAGAAAUAUGAACUCUGUGCUCAGCAAUGUCUGAUCGGUAUAAGCCACUCUCAUCUUCUGUCACAUGAGGGCAAGUCACACUUCCUCUGCCUCUUCCUUCCCAGAGUUCCUGUGGACACCAGUGGAAUGGGGAAGCAUUGGUGCUUGGAGCUGGGAGCCCUUCUCCCCAGGCAGUCUCCAACUUCUGCCUUCCAAGCUGCCACUGAGGGGUGAUCUUUUAAACUGCUGACUUAGAAUAGAAAAAGGAGAAAAGAAAGAAGAAAAAGGAAAACAAGAAACAAUUUGGAGCUAUGCCCUUUGUCUUCUCUCCUUGAAAAUACAAAUUAGUACUUUUUGUUUGUUUGUUUGUUUUAAAGAUAAAUAAGAAUAAAUGUUACAAUAUGAAGUAAAUGCUGUUAUAUAUGUUUUUUGUUUGUUUGUUUGUUUUUUACAUCAUGUUCCAGUUUGGUCAGUUACAUUAUGAGUUUAAUAAUGGCUCAUCAGUUCGGAAAAGCAGAAGCUGAUCUAGGAAUCUCCCACAAGUUCAGGAUCUGAUGUUUAGGCUCAAGUCUUGGUGUAAUGGCAGAGUCUGGAGCUCUGCCUCAGAUUUGGGGCUCUCUUGGGGAUUAGCU
RNAcentral lists this long non-coding RNA (5307 nucleotides) under Gallus gallus (chicken). Lineage: Eukaryota; Metazoa; Chordata; Aves; Galliformes; Phasianidae. The record is from RNAcentral.